GGGGCGGUGGCGAAAUGGCAGACGCAGCGGACUUAAAAUCCGCCGGGGGUAGCCCCGUGUGGGUUCGAAUCCCACCCGCCCUA
Molecule: transfer RNA, 83 nt
Filed under: Anaerolineae bacterium
Lineage: Bacteria; Bacillati; Chloroflexota; Anaerolineae
Also listed under: 2 other names
Description: tRNA-Leu
Rfam family: tRNA
About the family: Transfer RNA (tRNA) molecules are approximately 80 nucleotides in length. Their secondary structure includes four short double-helical elements and three loops (D, anti-codon, and T loops). Further hydrogen bonds mediate the characteristic L-shaped molecular structure. tRNAs have two regions of fundamental functional importance: the anti-codon, which is responsible for specific mRNA codon recognition, and the 3' end, to which the tRNAs corresponding amino acid is attached (by aminoacyl-tRNA synthetases). tRNAs cope with the degeneracy of the genetic code in two manners: having more than one tRNA (with a specific anti-codon) for a particular amino acid; and 'wobble' base-pairing, i.e. permitting non-standard base-pairing at the 3rd anti-codon position.
Source: RNAcentral